UCCCUGGUGGUCUAGUGGUUAAGACCCCGCACUUCCCAUGCAGGAUCUGGGGUUCAAUUCCCAGUCAGGAAA
This 72-nucleotide transfer RNA is filed under the name Ovis aries (sheep). It matches the Rfam family "tRNA". Rfam says of the family: Transfer RNA (tRNA) molecules are approximately 80 nucleotides in length. Lineage: Eukaryota; Metazoa; Chordata; Mammalia; Artiodactyla; Bovidae. The record is from Rfam by way of RNAcentral.